CACCACCAUCCAUCUUCCCCGACCUCUUCCAGCAAGCUAAGAGAAGGCGCUGGGUUGCAUUCCACCUGGGGUCAGAAAUGCAGAACCUGACUUCAAUCCUGAGCUCUCCUCCAAAGCUCCUAGAAUUGUCCUCCUCUCCCCAAGACUCCCAGGCUUCCUAGGGUUGGUUUCAUCCCUUUGCAAGGCUUCAGGGUACAGCCUGACAUCACAGCAUGCCCAGAGUGUGAAGUCACAAGUGGGCCUUGUGCCAAGAAAGUGUCUUUAUUCCUUGUUGGACCCCCCAGAGCAGCCUGAGGAAGGACUGCGGACCCUCAGAGAGAGUCACAGGCUGAGCACAGAAUAUUCAAGCACCUCACUGGUUUCCAUUCAGGAACCAAACAGGGAUCUGGAGGAGGACUGGGGUCAUCUCCCAGGCCAUUUUCCUGCAGGUGUAUCUCACAAGGCCACCAUUCUCUCCAAAGCCACCCUGCAUUAUAAGGAAGAAUUCUCCUAAAACUCCAGUUUUCUAAUGCUGAAGCUUUGUUACUUCAGCAACUACUGUGGCUUGGGAAGAUCUCUUACUCCACUCAAGCUCUGAACCAGUGGAGAGUAUUACAAGGAUUCAACAAGAUGCAGAUCAAAGUUUCCUUAUUAAUAAUAAAACUAUCUAUGCAUGUA
This is a non-coding RNA of Ictidomys tridecemlineatus (thirteen-lined ground squirrel), 657 nucleotides long. NCBI's taxonomy places the organism in Eukaryota, Metazoa, Chordata, Mammalia, Rodentia, Sciuridae. The record is from RefSeq and is a predicted model, not a curated record.